Long non-coding RNA from Thalassophryne amazonica, 235 nucleotides. RefSeq lists it as uncharacterized. The record is from RefSeq and is a predicted model, not a curated record. The transcript has 2 exons. Lineage: Eukaryota; Metazoa; Chordata; Actinopteri; Batrachoidiformes; Batrachoididae.
UAAGGCCACAGCAAUACACUGAACAAUCCUUUUCUUUAUUCAUUUUUUAAAAUCAUUUCAAUAUGUCCGUCAGGGUUUUUUUUUUUUUUUAAGAUUUUAUUUUAAAUUAAAAUCUGACACACUUAUAAAAGACAGCAUCUGCAUAGAGUUGUCAUCUUAAAGAUCAAUGAAGAAAGAGAGAGAGAGAGAGAGAGAGAGAGAGAGAGAGAGAGAGAGAGAGAGAGAGAGAGAGAGA